CCUACGGGGGGCAGCAGUGGGGGAUAUUGGACAAUGGGGGGAACCCUGAUCCAGCGACGCCGCGUGAGUGAAGAAGUAUUUCGGUAUGUAAAGCUCUGUCAGCAGGGAAGAAAGCAAUGACGGUACCUGACCAAGAAGCCCCGGCUAACUACGUGCCAGCAGCCGCGGUAAUACGUAGGGGGCAAGCGUUAUCCGGAUUUACUGGGUGUAAAGGGAGCGUAGACGGCUGUGCAAGUCUGAAGUGAAAGCCCGUGGCUCAACCGCGGAACUGCAUUGGAAACUGUUUAUCUAGAGUGUCGGAGAGG
This 305-nucleotide ribosomal RNA is filed under the name uncultured bacterium. RNAcentral describes it as "bacterial SSU rRNA". It matches the Rfam family "Bacterial small subunit ribosomal RNA", at positions 338 to 657 of the family's 1533-position model. The record is from RNAcentral.